Molecule: ribosomal RNA, 460 nt
Filed under: uncultured bacterium
Lineage: Bacteria
Description: partial 16S ribosomal RNA
Rfam family: Bacterial small subunit ribosomal RNA
Source: RNAcentral
CCUACGGGUGGCAGCAGUGAGGAAUAUUGGUCAAUGGGCGCGAGCCUGAACCAGCCAAGUCGCGUGAGGGAUGACGGUCCUACGGAUUGUAAACCUCUUUUGCCGGGGAGCAAGCGUGCGUUCGUGAACGCGCGUCGAGAGUACCCGGAGAAAAAGCAUCGGCUAACUCCGUGCCAGCAGCCGCGGUAAUACGGAGGAUGCGAGCUUUAUCCGGAUUGAUUGGGUUUCAGGGGUGCGCAGGCGGUCUGUUAAGUCAGCGGUCAAAGCCCGGGGCUCAACCCCGGCCCGCCGUUGAAACUGGCAGUCUCGAGUUGGAGAGAAGUAUGCGGAAUGCGCGGUGUAGCGGUGAAAUGCAUAGAUAUCGCGCAGAACUCCGAUUGCGAAGGCAGCAUGCCGGCUCCACACUGACGCUGAGGCACGAAAGCGUGGGUAUCGAACAGGAUUAGAUACCCGUGUAGUC